Molecule: ribosomal RNA, 253 nt
Filed under: uncultured prokaryote
Description: partial 16S ribosomal RNA
Rfam family: Bacterial small subunit ribosomal RNA
Source: RNAcentral
UACAGAGGUCUCAAGCGUUGUUCGGAUUCAUUGGGCGUAAAGGGUGCGUAGGUGGCGCCGUUAGUCAGGUGUGAAAUUUCGGAGCUUAACUCCGAAACUGCAUUUGAUACUGCGGUGCUUGAGGACUGGAGAGGAGACUGGAAUUUACGGUGUAGCAGUGAAAUGCGUAGAUAUCGUAAGGAAGACCAGUGGCGAAGGCGGGUCUCUGGACAGAUCCUGACACUGAGGCACGAAGGCCAGGGGAGCAAACGGG